This 786-nucleotide ribosomal RNA is filed under the name Bacillus pumilus. Its description in RNAcentral is "bacterial SSU rRNA". It matches the Rfam family "Bacterial small subunit ribosomal RNA", at positions 556 to 1343 of the family's 1533-position model. The record is from RNAcentral. Lineage: Bacteria; Bacillati; Bacillota; Bacilli; Caryophanales; Bacillaceae.
GGGCGUAAGGGCUCGCAGGCGGUUUCUUAAGUCUGAUGUGAAAGCCCCCGGCUCAACCGGGGAGGGUCAUUGGAAACUGGGAAACUUGAGUGCAGAAGAGGAGAGUGGAAUUCCACGUGUAGCGGUGAAAUGCGUAGAGAUGUGGAGGAACACCAGUGGCGAAGGCGACUCUCUGGUCUGUAACUGACGCUGAGGAGCGAAAGCGUGGGGAGCGAACAGGAUUAGAUACCCUGGUAGUCCACGCCGUAAACGAUGAGUGCUAAGUGUUAGGGGGUUUCCGCCCCUUAGUGCUGCAGCUAACGCAUUAAGCACUCCGCCUGGGGAGUACGGUCGCAAGACUGAAACUCAAAGGAAUUGACGGGGGCCCGCACAAGCGGUGGAGCAUGUGGUUUAAUUCGAAGCAACGCGAAGAACCUUACCAGGUCUUGACAUCCUCUGACAACCCUAGAGAUAGGGCUUUCCCUUCGGGGACAGAGUGACAGGUGGUGCAUGGUUGUCGUCAGCUCGUGUCGUGAGAUGUUGGGUUAAGUCCCGCAACGAGCGCAACCCUUGAUCUUAGUUGCCAGCAUUUAGUUGGGCACUCUAAGGUGACUGCCGGUGACAAACCGGAGGAAGGUGGGGAUGACGUCAAAUCAUCAUGCCCCUUAUGACCUGGGCUACACACGUGCUACAAUGGACAGAACAAAGGGCUGCGAGACCGCAAGGUUUAGCCAAUCCCAUAAAUCUGUUCUCAGUUCGGAUCGCAGUCUGCAACUCGACUGCGUGAAGCUGGAAUCGCUAGUAAUC